UACAGAGGUCCCAAGCGUUGUUCGGAUUCAUUGGGCGUAAAGGGUGCGUAGGCGGCGCGCUAAGUCGGGUGUGAAAUUUCGGAGCUUAACUCCGAAACUGCAUUCGAUACUGGCGUGCUUGAGGACUGGAGAGGAGACUGGAAUUCAUGGUGUAGCAGUGAAAUGCGUAGAGAUCAUGAGGAAGACCAGUGGCGAAGGCGGGUCUCUGGACAGUUCCUGACACUGAGACACGAAGGCCAGGGGAGCAAACGGG
Molecule: ribosomal RNA, 253 nt
Filed under: uncultured bacterium
Lineage: Bacteria
Description: partial 16S ribosomal RNA
Rfam family: Bacterial small subunit ribosomal RNA
Source: RNAcentral